AAAAAUGCGUUGAAGAGAAGCAGUAGGUUUUACCGUGUAGGUACAGAGAGUUGCCGUUCGGUGGAAGGUAAUGCUACAGGAAAACUGAACUCGUCUCGAAGCAGCUCGCUGAACUAUAAGUAGGCGGAGUCGGCUCCUGUCCGUUAUCCUACAGGAAGGUAUCGACAAUUGUCCGUACUUAUGAGUGCAUAUUUUAGGAUAUGAAGUAGAGUGGUAACGCGUGAGCAAAGUCUUUCGUCUCUGAU
RNAcentral lists this non-coding RNA (245 nucleotides) under Megasphaera genomosp. C1. RNAcentral describes it as "Megasphaera genomosp. T-box sequence". It matches the Rfam family "T-box leader". Rfam says of the family: Uncharged tRNA acts as the effector for transcription antitermination of genes in the T-box leader family. T-boxes are found upstream of many aminoacyl-tRNA synthetase genes and some amino acid biosynthetic genes usually in Gram-positive bacteria. The anticodon of a specific tRNA base pairs to a specifier sequence within the T-box motif, and the NCCA acceptor tail of the tRNA base pairs to a conserved bulge in the T-box antiterminator hairpin. Lineage: Bacteria; Bacillati; Bacillota; Negativicutes; Veillonellales; Veillonellaceae. The record is from RNAcentral.